Molecule: ribosomal RNA, 255 nt
Filed under: uncultured bacterium
Lineage: Bacteria
Description: partial 16S ribosomal RNA
Rfam family: Bacterial small subunit ribosomal RNA
Source: RNAcentral
UACGGAGGGUGCAAGCGUUGCUCGGAAUUAUUGGGCGUAAAGGGUAGGUAGGUGGUCUCAUUUGUCUGGGGUGAAAGCCUUGGGCUUAACCCAAGAAGUGCCCCGGAAACGGUGAGACUAGAGUGCUGGAGAGGUUCGUGGAAUUCCCGGUGUAGCGGUGAAAUGCGUAGAGAUCGGGAGGAACACCAGAGGCGAAGGCGGCGAACUGGACAGUGGACUGACACUCAACUACGAAAGCGUGGGGAGCAAACAGGG